RNAcentral lists this ribosomal RNA (497 nucleotides) under uncultured bacterium. RNAcentral describes it as "partial 16S ribosomal RNA". It matches the Rfam family "Bacterial small subunit ribosomal RNA", at positions 28 to 507 of the family's 1533-position model. The record is from RNAcentral.
GAUGAACGCUGGCGGCGUGCCUAAUACAUGCAAGUCGAGCGCACGGACGAGAAGCUUGUUUCUCUGAUGUUAGCGGCGGACGGGUGAGUAACACGUGGAUAACCUACCUAUAAGACUGGGAUAACUUCGGGAAACCGGCGCUAAUACCGGAUGAUAUUUUGAACCGCAUGGUUCAAAAGUGAAAGACGGUCUUGCUGUCACUUAUAGAUGGAUCCGCGCUGCAUUAGCUAGUUGGUAAGGUAACGGCUUACCAAGGCAACGAUGCAUAGCCGACCUGAGAGGGUGAUGGGCCACACUGGAACUGGAACACGGUCCAGACUCCUACGGGAGGCAGCAGUAGGGAAUCUUCCGCAAUGGGCGAAGGCCUGACGGAGCAACGCCGCGUGGGUGAUGAAGGUCUUCGGAUCGUAAAACUCUGUUAUUAGGGAAGAACAUAUGUGUAAGUAACUGUGCACAUCUUGACGGUACCUAAUCAGAAAGCCACGGCUAACUACGUG